Molecule: ribosomal RNA, 492 nt
Filed under: uncultured bacterium
Lineage: Bacteria
Description: bacterial SSU rRNA
Rfam family: Bacterial small subunit ribosomal RNA
Source: RNAcentral
UCAGGAUGAACGCUGGCGGCGUGCCUAACACAUGCAAGUCGAACGAGGUUACUCAGAUUGGAGAUUCGUCAAAGAUCUUUUAACCGAGUGGCGGAUGGGUGAGUAACGCGUGGAGAACCUGCCCUUAUCAGGGGGAUAACAACUGGAAACGGUUGACAAUACCGCAUACGCUCAUGAGAUCGCAUGAUCUUGUGAGGAAAGAUUUAUCGGAUAAGGAUGGCUCCGCGUCGGAUUAGCCAGUUGGCGGGGUAACGGCCCACCAAAGCGACGAUCCGUAGCCGGCCUGAGAGGGCGACCGGCCACAUUGGGACUGAGACACGGCCCAGACUCCUACGGGAGGCAGCAGUGGGGGAUAUUGCACAAUGGGGGGAACCCUGAUGCAGCGACGCCGCGUGGAGGAAGAAGUAUUUCGGUAUGUAAACUCCUAUCAGCAGGGAAGAAAAUGACGGUACCUGACUAAGAAGCCCCGGCUAACUACGUGCCAGCAGCCGC